Molecule: long non-coding RNA, 2059 nt
Filed under: Capsicum annuum
Lineage: Eukaryota; Viridiplantae; Streptophyta; Magnoliopsida; Solanales; Solanaceae
Description: long non-coding RNA (CANN_LNC016206)
Source: RNAcentral
UUAAAAAAAAUUAUCGAAUCCGUAAACGCAAUUUUGACCAUCUGACAGGAUUCGAAGAAAAAAAUCGGUUAGGGUGGCGCUUCUAAUCAGAUCCAAAAAUUCAUACAACCAGUUAUGAAGAUUUUUCUCACAGGUAUAUUCAUACAAAAAUCUUUUUUCCAAGAGUUUUAUAUUUUAAACUCGAAAAAUAACGUGUAAAAAUGGAGUAAUAAACUUGGCUUUGAUACCAUUGAUAGAAAAUUAAGGAGCAAAAUAGUGUGUACCUUGACAAAUUUCGUAGUAGAUGUGAUUUUGCUACCGAAAGGAUCUGCCCCAAGUCCACUUUGUUUCUCUUGAAAACAGAGUAUUGAUUCACAAACUAAAAAUCUCCUUUUAAAUUUUUGUUAAUGUUUUUAUUUACCGUAAUAUUUAUUUUUAGUUAUUUUUUUUUUCAGAAGAAGUGAAUAUGUACAAGAGUAGUGGGUGGAUAAACCAGUUAUACAGUAACUGUCCCUCUCUUUUUCAAAAUUAAAUUGUUCCCUUCUUAUCUUUCAUUUAACAAAUAAUUAAAAUAAAAAACUGGGUCGGACCGAAUCGGAUUGGGUCGAUCCACAUGGACGACUCAUGACCCCUAAUCUAACAAUUAGGAUAAUAAUAAAAUUAGAAGAAAGACAAAAAAUAAGAAAAAAUAGACUCUACAAAGGAGAAACUAAGCUAAUUCUAAUAAUUUGUGGAGCACCAAGGCAUAAAUGAUUGGGUGCCUAUUGUAAAUCUAUCUAAUUUUUGGUGAAGUAUUUCAACAACGUCAAUAAAAUAUGAAGAUAAUUGCAUUUAUAAUUUAAUAAUUUCAAUUCAUUAAUAACCUAGAAAUAGUAUUUUAUUUCACAUUUGUUUAUAUUAGAAGUAAAAAAUAUGCUUCAUAUGAAUCAUAAAUGUUCUUGCAAUUUCCAGUUAUGUUAGAUAGUGUUGAAAUUCGUAACAGUUUCAUCUUAAAAAAUGUCAUACCAAGAAAAUAUGCAUAAGCUUUUUUAUCCAACUUCAUAGUACUAUAUCUAUUAUGGAGUUUGUGUACUGUUCAUGAGAGAUUUGGUUUUGCAGCCUUUUACAAAGUUUCUUAGUUUUUUGUCCUUUUUAUAGGAUUUCUCAUUUUUGCAUACUAGAUUUAGAAAAAGAAAAAAUUACACGCCAUAUAUAAAAUUAUUUUUUAAUUACAUGAUAUGAUUAAUAUUUCAAAAAAUUAUUCUACAUAGUUAUUUAUUAGUUAUAAAAAUAUUUUUUGUGGGCCCCUAUAUAUAAAUAUAAUAUGCAAUAUAUAUAACAAAUAAUACUCUCUUUCUCAUGUAAUUAAUUUUUUAUAAUCUCUCUCUAAUCUAAUUAGCUAAUUUUACCGCAUUAACUUAUGCACUGUUCUUGAACAUAUCUCAAUGAAAAUUUUUCUCCCAAAUUAGUUAAUUUAUUUUCUUUUCCUAAACAUCCAUUGUGAUUUUGCGUUGAAAAUUUUUUGAAGUAAUUUCUCGUCCCUAAACAUAUGUGAGGAUAUGCAUUGAAGAUUUUGUGAUAAUCUUUAAUUUUUUUGGGUAAAUAGAUUUGUUUUCUUUUAAUUUUUUUUUAGCUAUUCUCUAAAUGAACCCUAUGUUUCUUCAGAUUUAAUCUAUUUUAUAGAAUGGAAUGUAAAAUUUGAAAAUCGAAUUGUAUAUUAGUGUCAUUUCACAGGAUAAAUCUUGAUGAAUUAUCUUCAUAAUUGGGAUCCAAUUUUAGUGAAUUUGAUAAUUGUAUAUAGACGAUGUAAUUGUAUUAAGUUGCAUAGAUUUUUGUACGUCGGUAUUCAUUGUAUAUUUUUUUCAUUUGUAUAUUUUCUAUACAUAUGAAUGUAUUGAAUGUAUAUUUUUGAUGUAUAUAUUUGAAUUUUUGUAUAACUAUGAUGUAUACAAGUUUGUUCUGUGUUGGUACACAUAUACAUAUAUAUAUGCAUAUAUAUGUGUUGGCUCAAUAUACAUUAUUCAUAUGUGUAUACAUAUGUUCUAUAUUUAUGUAUAUAUACAUAUUCAUAUCUGUAUAUAUGUACAUACAUUUGAAUAUA